AAGGCUUAGUUGAGUUGAGUUAAGAUUAUAAAACGAAAAAUAUAGCAUCAAGCAUACAACGUGCCACAAAUGACAAAAGUGCAAGGGAUGUCAUGAAAACUACAUUCUGAAAUAUACCAUAAAAUAAUAAAAGCAAGCAAGAUAGGUCCAUAUCAGAUAGUAACAGUUCUGACACCAGAACAUUAUGUUGACUUAUAAAUGCCCAUAAUUCUGUGUUAUUUAGAAAGACAAGUGAGCCACAUUCAUGCUCAUAACAAUGAUAUCUAAGAAGGAGAAAAUUGCAUUAGUGCAUUGUAAUUUAUAAUACAUCAGAAGAACUUAUGGCCUGAAAUAUACUGUUACGAUGUAUUUAGAAAGGAAACUAUAAAAGUUCCAUAAUUAACUAACUCAUUCCUAAGGAAUAUGAUGACAUUCCAGCACACUGUGGAAGUCCCAACCCCUCCAUAACACAGACAAAGGAAGUAAUGGAAACUCAGGAAAACGAGGGAAAGAGAUUGACCACAGAACAACACACCCCAACACCACCCCCCACCCAAAAGAAAUGACCUCAUUCCCAAAAGAAAAGGGAGUUGAAAGUCCAUUUCUAUAUUCACUUACGGCCAGAUAUUCAUAUUAAUCUCAAAAUGUGCAUGCUGGGGGGCUUUUUUUAGGGGGGUGGUUGGGUUGGGUUUUGUGCGGUGAAGAGCUUUCAGCAGCUAUCAAACAUGCCAUAAUUUACAAUAUGAGGAUGUUUCAAAUGAGCUCCAGUUUCAUCUAAACAUCCCAAGAAAGAGUCCAUGGUAAAGAAAUAUGAUUCAUAGGCAUAAAUUGAGUUCCAGAAUUCCAUCAAAUACAUACAUGGAAAGUUGUGAAUUUCAAUUUUAAAGAACUCAGAGCUUGACUUCAGUGAUUCUAGAUCUAAAAAACAACAUUCAUAAACAUUUACAAAGGCAUAACAAAGGUUAUAUCACCAGUAUCAAGAAGACUAGAUAGGUCACAAGCUGCUAAUUUCUAAUCAACAACUGCCAGUUAAACCACUUUCCAAUGUCCAACACCCUAGGGUAGAUGUUACCAGAAGAAUUCAUGCUUCUUGCUCCAUUUAAAGCUAGUCCAAGGAAAAAAUGCAGAAAAAGAUACAUGAAAAUAAAAUUUAAAGGUAAUUCCCAAUAAAUCCAUGCAAUUAUGUGUAAAUUUCUGCCAAGCUGAGCAGGACAAAUGAUAAGGAGCAAACUCAAAAGUGGUAGCAAGACAUUUACUUUUUUUUUCUUUUAAAAACAUUGCAUAUUCAUGAUUAUCAAUAUUUAUUGAGUGAUGCAUGCACACAGAGAGAAAAAGGAUACAUAUAUUAGUCUUUUUUGCCACCAUGAUCUUCAUUUUCACUUGGAUAUUUUCCUAGACUUGCAAGAAUUUGGCAUGAGCAAGAUAUUAAACCAUAGUCAAACUAUUAAGGAAUCCCAAUUAUCUCUUUUUGCUGGGUCAUAUACACUGAUCAAUAUGUGAGCAUGUGCACAGAGAGGGAGAAAAAGAAAGUAAAGAAAUUAUUAACCUAAAGUCAAUGACUACAAAGCCUUUUUGCAAGGUAUAAAGGCUUGCUCUGACAAGGACUUAAAUUUUGAAAAAUAGCAUUGCAGAGACAAAACAAAUUUAAUGUAUCUUUGCCAUAUGGAAAUUUAAAGUGAGCUGGAAUAUAUAGCAACUGAAAAGGCUGAAAACGUAAAAGAACAUGGCAAUUCUAGCAAUCAACUAUUUCAUUUGCUUUGUUGAUUUGACUAUUAAAAGUACACAUUAAUGCUAUGUUUGGGAAGAGGGGGAAAUAAGGGAAAGAAAACAAUGAGCGGAAAAUAAAGAUGGAAAGUGGAUUUCCCUUGUUUGAGAGGAAGAAAGAAAAGCACAGCGGGAAAUAUUCAAUAUUUUCCUUUUUGACCCACAAAUAUUACUUUCCCUUUCACACCCUAUGAUAUGGAUUCAA
RNAcentral lists this unclassified non-coding RNA (1948 nucleotides) under Hevea brasiliensis (rubber tree). The record is from RNAcentral. Lineage: Eukaryota; Viridiplantae; Streptophyta; Magnoliopsida; Malpighiales; Euphorbiaceae.